This 465-nucleotide ribosomal RNA is filed under the name Vreelandella stevensii. RNAcentral's name for it is "partial 16S ribosomal RNA". It matches the Rfam family "Bacterial small subunit ribosomal RNA", at positions 338 to 795 of the family's 1533-position model. The record is from RNAcentral. Lineage: Bacteria; Pseudomonadati; Pseudomonadota; Gammaproteobacteria; Oceanospirillales; Halomonadaceae.
CCUACGGGUGGCAGCAGUGGGGAAUAUUGGACAAUGGGCGAAAGCCUGAUCCAGCCAUGCCGCGUGUGUGAAGAAGGCCUUCGGGUUGUAAAGCACUUUCAGUGGGGAAGAAAGCCUUGGGGCUAAUACCCUCGAGGAAGGACAUCACCCACAGAAGAAGCACCGGCUAACUCCGUGCCAGCAGCCGCGGUAAUACGGAGGGUGCGAGCGUUAAUCGGAAUUACUGGGCGUAAAGCGCGCGUAGGCGGUCUGAUAAGCCGGUUGUGAAAGCCCCGGGCUCAACCUGGGAACGGCAUCCGGAACUGCCAGGCUAGAGUGCAGGAGAGGAAGGUAGAAUUCCCGGUGUAGCGGUGAAAUGCGUAGAGAUCGGGAGGAAUACCAGUGGCGAAGGCGGCCUUCUGGACUGACACUGACGCUGAGGUGCGAAAGCGUGGGUAGCAAACAGGAUUAGAUACCCCAGUAGUC